Molecule: long non-coding RNA, 361 nt
Filed under: Homo sapiens (human)
Lineage: Eukaryota; Metazoa; Chordata; Mammalia; Primates; Hominidae
Description: HSALNT0008593
Source: RNAcentral
UAGAACAAGACAGCCCUAUACAAGUCCUCACAGCAGGACCACAGCUGGUACCUCUAGCAAUGCCUGGGAAGCCUUCGUUCUUUGUAUUUUAAAAAAGCAGCUCAUGAAAACCCAGCAUCCAUUUCAAGCAAUUGUAAUUGGUAAGAACCAAAAAAUGUGAAAUUUUAUUGUUCAUGAAAUUGGUUUUUCAAAUAGGAAGCCUCACGCUGCAGAGAUCUCUUGUUUGUGACACAAGAGUCUUCAGAGAAAGUUGAAUGAAUGUACGUGGAUGGAGUCCUUGUAGGUCAAAAUGGUUACAUUGUCUUGAAUGAGGACUUGGCCCUCAACUGCUCUCAUGGUAUUUGCAAACUACCAGUGACAG